Molecule: ribosomal RNA, 407 nt
Filed under: uncultured soil bacterium
Lineage: Bacteria
Description: bacterial SSU rRNA
Rfam family: Bacterial small subunit ribosomal RNA
Source: RNAcentral
AGAUUGAACGCUGGCGGCAUGCUUUACACAUGCAAGUCGAGCGGCAGCGCGGGGGCAACCCUGGCGGCGAGCGGCGAACGGGUGAGGAACACAUCGGAACGUGCCCCGGAGUGGGGGAUAACGCCGCGAAAGCGGCGCUAAUACCGCAUAUGCUCUGAGGAGGAAAGCGGGGGACCUGUGAGGGCCUCGCGCUCUGGGAGCGGCCGAUGUCCGAUUAGCUAGUUGGUGGGGUAAUGGCUCACCAAGGCGACGAUCGGUAGCUGGUCUGAGAGGAUGAUCAGCCACACUGGGACUGAGACACGGCCCAGACUCCUACGGGAGCAGCAGUGGGGAAUUUGGACAAUGGGGGCAACCCUGAUCCAGCCAUGCCGCGUGCGGGAAGAAGGCCUGGUGUAACGUCGUUAGUC